Long non-coding RNA from Maniola jurtina (meadow brown), 141 nucleotides. RefSeq lists it as uncharacterized. The record is from RefSeq and is a predicted model, not a curated record. The transcript has 3 exons. Lineage: Eukaryota; Metazoa; Arthropoda; Insecta; Lepidoptera; Nymphalidae.
AUACCUACUAGGUAUUUCGAUAUAGUUCUUGCAAUUCACGAAGGCGAGUGAACUUUACUUGUGGUUACGUCGUAUACACGGGCAUUGCGUAAGUGUGCGUGCAUGUCGGACCAAUCAGUCGCGAGCAAACGCACACAUUUA